UUGCCAAUGAUGGUUAAGAAUUUCUUCACCUGAAUCAACUAUGUGGUCAUACUCUUCUUGUCUGAGGCAAA
This is a small nucleolar RNA of Rattus norvegicus (Norway rat), 71 nucleotides long. NCBI's taxonomy places the organism in Eukaryota, Metazoa, Chordata, Mammalia, Rodentia, Muridae. The record is from Ensembl.